This 1260-nucleotide long non-coding RNA is filed under the name Triticum aestivum (bread wheat). RNAcentral describes it as "long non-coding RNA (TAES_LNC018694)". Lineage: Eukaryota; Viridiplantae; Streptophyta; Magnoliopsida; Poales; Poaceae. The record is from RNAcentral.
CCAGCAACAACCAUCCAAUGAUCCAAUGAUCCUUUAUAUAGAGAGACGAAGCAGCAGGGUGACAAUACAAAGAGAAAUAGAGUGGUGUGUGCAAUAUCCUUCAUUCUACCAUGGCUUCGAGGUGUCACGUGAAAAUGUUUCUUCUGCUGCUUAUACUGGAGAUCGUUCUGCUCAUUACCAUGCCUUCCGGAGGCCUGGCGGGUCCGAGUGCGACACAGAGAAACAGUAAGUACUCUGGCAUUUCAUUCUUGCAGAUCCAACCACAGAUUUAUUACAAAAUACCUCGUACUCCCUCUGUAAAUCAUAGGUAACAAAAAAUUAAAAAGGGUUUGACAAUUGAUAUAUCAAGAAAAUGAAUACAAGUUCAAGUUACUAUUGCAUCAUGUUCGCUUUCUCAUGUAUUAUUCAAACGUUAGUAAUAUUGAUUGGAGGAUUAAACGGCCUGAAAGCUUGUGGCUCCAAACGAAGAUGAUUCUCGACAAAAUUCUCCCCCACUUUUGGUAAACCCACAAAACAAUAUGUAAAAUAUAUGUAAAAUAUAUGGCUAGUCAGACGGAAAAUUGGCAGUGAAAUAAUUAAAGACUAAUUAUAGCUUCCCGUCAUUGUGUAGUUUGUUUUCGAAAUGCUUGCUCUAGUUGAAGCAGUAGUUAGAAAUUCAGUUCAUAAUGGUGAUAGUACGGUGUUAUGUACAAUAUGUUUCCAGAAUUGUCAAUGGAAAAUUUGCAUCUCAUAAUUUGCUCUUGCAGACAGUGACAACCCCAACUGCCCCGCUUGCUACAGACCUCCUUGUCAUUGUUGAAAGUAUAUGGGGUUUUGCCCCAUUUAAUUUGUCAUUCCUCAAAAGUCACAUACAGAGUGAAGGAGAAAUGAGACCAACAUAUAAGGGACUCUCUCACACAUGCACUCCUCAUUAGGGCAUGAUAAGAGUAGUACAGGCGCGCGUUCUCCGCGGCCACAUCGCACCGCUCACCUACAUCUUCGAUUCCUGGCGACUUAUUCAAACCUGUAAUAAGAAUGCUCCUCGGUGUGAUAGCAAUUUUGUUAGCCAUCCAGGAGCAUGUGCUUCAUCGGUUUCCAAUUUGCAUCCUUUAUGUCAUUGUUAUGGUUUUUGUGCUGUGUAAAGAUUACUUGCCUGGCAAUUUUAUACGAUUAUCUCACAUGUGUGACCGGGCUCCUUGUAUAAAUUGGAAAUGUAAAAGAGGCUCCAAUUACCACACAAUCAGUGUGGUAAUCAAUCCUAGACCAAUGAUACCAACAAUG